UAGGGGUGUUUGAUUAGAUGAAGGAUGAAGAUCACCCCAGAAAACACGAGAGAGAGAGAGAUAGAGCUCGGUGCUCUGACCCGAGACGCGCACGACCCGAGAGAGAGACCUGACCGGAACUUCCACGUCCGGCCACGCCACGACGGCGCACGGGCACCCACAUCUUCUUCUCUGCGUCGCCUAUCUCCCUGCAUCCUCAGAUUGUCCAUGCACUGAACGGAGAAGGAAACCCGACGACAAGAAGCCCAAAGCUUCACCGGCAACCUCUGCAAUUUCCGGCGACCGAUUAAGCUAUAUCUGUUUUUGGGUUCAUCUCGGGUCCGGCGUUGUUCUUUGAUGCCGACGACUUCUCUGGCUUCUCUUGGUCCACUCUCCACCUCGUUUCCACUUGUUGAUGCUUAAUGUUCUAGACUGAAGCUAAUUUUCAGAAACUGCUAGCUGGUGUGAUGGAUUCCCAGUUCGUCAUCAUCUUUGUUCAACCGAGCUUGCUUGGAGUAAUUUUUGAAGUUACCCGAGGAACAGAAGGUUCGCGACUCUCGGAAUACGUGAGAGAAAGCAUCGAAAUCCAGGUAGGGAUUCAGGACUCUCCUCGGUUAGUGAUUUUCUUAUAUUGUUAUUAAAUGAUGCAUGUUAGUUGGUAUGGUUUGGUUAUGUUCAAAUGCAAUGCAUACUAACCAAACCAUGUGAGAAAUGUGAUGGCUUGAGAGCGAAGGGUGGCUCUGACUUCCUUGGGUUCGAUCCCCAAAACCUCCGGAGGGUUAGUUACACCGGUCGGACGGUGAGCGAUCGCAAUGACGACCCGAUCCGUGUGUGUAGCUAGGUAGCGGACGCUCUCGCUACGCUUACCUGGUGAUAAAUUAAAUUGAGGUAAGGUCGUGUAGUGGGUCUAUGGGACCGGCCAUCAGGUAAAACUUGGAUUUGGCGCCGUAUUUAUUUAAGCAUCAUGUAUCGGUUUUGAAGUUGAAAAACAUUAAAGUUUGUCGUUCCUUUUAAAUAUUUGGUUUAAGCAUGUUUUCAUACUGGAGCUCCAAAAUCUAUUUAUCGGUUUCAAACCAAUCGAGUUAGAGUUCCUAUUGAGCAGCGAGGACGAAAGCUCACCCCUACAACAGUAUGAAUGCAGGUACUGUGCACUGGUGACGGGACAGUAGCGGGCGGAGCUGGGUGUGCGAAAGCUCGGUAAAGCAUCGUUUGGAUUUUAUUUUAAAUUCUCUUUCAUUGAAAUCCGUACCUCGUGUGAGUCUUUAUCCCAGUUCUGGACGAACGAAAUAGAUUUUAGCAAUUCAAGUUUUCACCUCAAAAAUAUUUGUAGCUUCUGCUGUGUUUUCCAAAUGUUUUCAAACAAAAUGCCUAGCGGUUCUCUAGGAUGUAAAUCGAGCGUUCGGUUUACGUUUUAGAGACUCGCGGCACUGUGACGUGCUUAAGCUGGUGAGGUGUAGGUUGGGGCGUUACACCCUGCAUCAGCAAAAUCCAUCAAAACAUCCUCAUCGUUUUGAUGUAAGGGAGGAGGAUGGGUGGCCGGCGGCUUUGCCGAUCACGGCGUCUUGGACGGUGACACUUGGGCUAAUGAGAUCCGUUCUCAUUAUUCCGUCAUUAUUUUCUCUCUGCAGGGAUAGAACAAGCUCAUAUCUAUCGUACAUUUUAAGUAACGAAAGAUUGUCUUUAUACCAGUCCAAUGGUGUUGCGUUGGCGCAGGGCUGCAUCUAACCAACAAGUUCAUAAUUACAAAUGAGGUGUCCGGUCUUGUAUUGUGUUAAGUAUAAUAAUGCGCCUAUUGCACUUAGGUAAGACAUUUCUGCCAAUUAACACGUCUUCGUCAUCAUCCCUGGGACGAAACGUAUCCCUCUUAAGGUCAAGACUACGGACGACCAUGGGAGUGCAUCUUUGACUUUAUCAAAAUGCAAAGCAUUUAUUGACACGGUAUACAAGUUUUAAAUCUAGACAAAACCGUGUUCUCCCAAGGUCCUUCAUCUCAAACUCGGAUUUCAGGUGUUCAGCAGUUUCCCUUAACUCUCAAGGGUUCCAAUUAUGUUUAUCAACAUAAACCGUGACAAUUGCAAAUCCAGAACUUGUAAUGAAAACACAGGGGCAUAGUUCAUCAUAUCCCUUUCCAAUCAAGUAGUCACUUUAGUGAGCGUUUCAACCUCGUUGCAAACGCGCUCCGUGGUCUAGAGCCACUUGACUUGGGUAAAUGAAGUUCACAAGAACCUUCAUUAUAUUCCGUAUCUAGAUCCCCAUAGAGAUACGUAGUGACCACAUUCGUAAGCUGCAUGUUCAGUUAUUCGGAAACUACCAAACUGACAAGGUAGUGGAGUGCAAUGACAUCCAUUACGAGAGAAUAUGUAUUCUCGUAGUCGAUUCCAGGGCGUUUUGUGAGAAGCCUUGCGCCAUAAGGCGAGAUUACAUCUCUUUUUCUCAUCACGCUAUCUAACGAAGACCUAUUAAUGUCAACAGGUUUUAUGUUAGGAGGUGUUGGCAUCUCAGGCCUGAAAACCUUCCUCUUCGCUAGUGAAUCAAAUUCAACCUGGAUCGCAUCUUUCCAUUUAGGCCAAUUUUCUCUACGCUGGCAUUCCUUCAACGGUGUAAGGUUCGAUGUCAUUGGUCUCAAUAAUUCCACGUCCUCAUGUACACUAGUGUAGUUUGUAGAGAUCUCUAUAUUCUCAGGAGUUGGUUCUAACAUUGAGGCGUCCCCCAACGAUGUCUCUUGGACAUAACCACAAUCCAGAAUAUUCUCAUAAGACGGAUUUUGAGUAUCAAUGAUCAAUGGAUCAAGUUGUGUCAAACUCGCUCACUUCCUAGGGCGAGAAUCUAUCGAACCUAUGGGUCUCCUACGCUCUUUAGCGGAACCCAUGACCUAUGACGCCAUUAUGCCACAUUGUGGCGUCACUAUACCACCAUCCAUGGUGGUGGUGUCGUGCCCAUCUCUUCUGGGUGGCGCCAUGUCCUCUUGAGGGGACAUCUAUCCUUGCAGGCAUGUUUGCAGCAGGUAUAUGUGAUCUCGUCACUUUUAGGGGAUCAAGAUGAGACAUAGUGGGGACAGACCACGACAAUUCCUGCCGUUCCUGUUGAACAUAGACGUUCUAAUCUCCCUCUAACGACGGGAAAACUGUCUCAUCAAAGUGACAAUUCGCAAAUCCAGCGAAAAAGAGAUCGCCUGUCAAGGGUUUUACAUAGCGGACUUAUGGUUGGAGACUUAUGUCCAACACAAAUAUAUAUAUAUAUGCAUUCGUUGCAAUGACUCAUGUUGAUGCGUUGUGGCGGCGCAAUUGGCACAUAAACCGCACACUCAAAUAUGCAUAAGUACGAGAUAUUAGAAUCGAACCCAAUCACUAGCUGUAACGCAAAUAAACGUUGAGUGGCUGCUAUGAGUAGUAGACGAAUUAGCAUAGCUGCAUGCGAUAUUGCAUAACCCAAGCGGAAAUAUUGGUGCGCAUUACCAAAGUCCGGGCUACCAUCGUAGUCUUUUAAUGGUGGCUUUUCCGCGAGACCAAUUGGGUGUGUACAUGGGAAUAUGAUACUUGAUAUCAAUACCCAAUGAUAUGCCAUAGUCAUCGAAAAUUUUCGAUGUAAACUCUCCAGCAUUAUCAAGUCGAAUUGAUUGAAUGAGAUGAUUCGGGUAGUGAGCCCGUAGCCAUAUGAUAUGUGCUAGGAGUGUAGUAUAAGCAGCAUUACGAGUGGACAAUGGUACAACACGUGACCAGCGUGUUUGCAUAUCAACCAACACCAUAACAUGUCUAUACGGUCCGCAAGUUGGUUGAAUCAAUCCACAGAAUUCCCUUAGAAUCUUCGUAAGAAUGGUAUGCUUUCUUUUUGUGUCCUUUGCAUAGGAUGGUCUUGAUCCUAAUUUUGCUAAAGAGCAGGCUUUGAAGAACGAAGGUUGGGCUUUAGAAGCAACCACUAAUGAUUUCAGUUGAGCCAUGAAGUCACAAUUGACUUUAGAAGUAACAAGAGGAGUUGAAUUAGGGUGUAUGGCGUCAAUGCCAUGUAUUGGCCGCAGGGGGUAGGCAGCAUCGGCGCCAGUCUUGCACAAUCAUGGCUCCAUGAGGCGCAUGUGCAGCUCCUCGAAUCAAUUUUUGGUUCUUACUUCUUUUCUUUCUGAAAAAUGGAUGUCCGUGUGAAGUCUUUAAUACACGGAUCAUCAUGUCACGACCUGGGUGUCCCAAACGGUCAUGCCAAAGCCUAUAUGUGUCAGAAUCCCAUAAAUCAUCUCUCAUGACAUGGUUUGAUUCAAUGAUUCGAAUAGUGGUUGCAUCCAACCCACUAGAACAACACAUAAGUUUCUUUAAGACUGGCAUACGUCCGUAGUCAUUAGAGGUGAUACAAAGGAACUCUUGUCCAUUCUCACAAUGUGUUUCCACAUGAAAACCAUUGGCUCUUAUAUCUUUGAAAUAAUAAAGUUCGAAUUAAGGUAUGUCCAAGACAUUAAAGAAUCGACACUUUAUUAAUAGCCAAUGAUUACAUCAAAGUUUCUUAACCAAAGUCUAAUCCAAAAUAAAAAUCAAACUUAGACAAAUCGUAGUCACUCAAUCCAUUUGGUAACUCCAAUCAAAUAUGACCAGGAAAGUAAGAAGAGAUGUCAGUGGAGCAAACCUCGCUUAAGUACCACUAAUCUCAACUAGUUUCUUAGACAUCAUACUUAAUUGUGUGAGUCUAGUGAGAAAGAGCUAAGACAAUUGUCAUUUAUUGAUUUAAGGCAUAAUUGUCAUUACAUAAUUCUUGGAAAAUAAAGACUAUACUAAUAAAAAUCUGCGGCAUUUUAUCUUCAUCGCCAGAUUUAAAGUCUUCCAUAACUCGAUAUCUUGAUCACCAUUGAUCAGGUACACCAUAAAACAUAAUGUAGAGGAUGCUCUCUUGAUUGAGGCGUAUUGACGCAAUACAAAUGACCCCUAGGACCAUUGGCAUUAGAAUAGUGUUACCAUGGCCAAAAGUGGCGCCAUGGUGUCCAACCCCCAACCCUCAACGUCAUGACUCCUUUGGUCAUGUAUUUGCCAACUUUGGCGAUGACCUUCAUGAGCAUGUUGAUCAUAUCAUCCAUGGCGACUUCUUCUAGCCAUUGAACGGUGCUCAUGGUAGCCAUCUUGAGGCCUACCAUAUUUUCCAUUCACAAAGUUCGUGGUUGUGCCUUUCAACACAUGCCAUAGCUCCAAUUAGCUGAUGGAAAUUUGUGAUCCAUCUUGCGUUUACAUGAGUCCGGAAUAAAUCAGAGGACCUCAUAGCAUAGAUAGGGAAGGUAUUAAGGGUUUUCUCAAUCAAUUGUUCUUCUGUGAUAGUUUUUCAUAGGCAUGCAUCAAUGUCUGAUGCGGAGAGCUUCCGAACAAUAUUCCAUAACUUUGUCAAAGUUAGAGAAGCAGAGAUAAUUCCAUCAUUCUUCUAAGUUCGGAAAAUUGUGAAUGUUUGUUAAAACAUUCACGAAGGGCUACCCAAAGGUUUCUAGCGCUAUCCUCAUUCAUGUACUCAAACUGGAGUGUCAUCUCCAUGUGGCGCUUCAUCAGGGUAAGUGCCCUGGAAUUAUCUAUCUCAGUUUGUGAGUCUUGAGCGGUUCCUUUAGAACAGGGCUCUUGGAUUGUAGGCAAUAAAUAUCCCGUGCCCGUAGAAUCCAAUGGAGUAAAAUCGAGCUCGUUCAAGUUUGAUAUCCAAAAAGGAGAAACAAGAACGGAUUAGUUUCGGAGUCAAUGCUUCCACGAAAACUAAUAUUAAGAUUUCCGAGCCUUAAUGCUACCAAGAAAUCGAUUUCCAAGAAAUCCUUAAUGCUUGCGGACACUCUUAGUCCGAAUAUUAUGAACACUCUUAGUUCAUUGAUUACGAACGCUCUUAGUUCGUUUAUUAUGAACACUCUUAGUUCAUUGAUUACGAACGCUCUUAGUUCAUUUAGUGUGAAUCCCCACAAUUCCGCUUAUUAAAUAAUCGAACCCAUGUUCGUAUAUGGCAAAUCCUGCAGCAAAUAAAGAAAUUUAAAAGACAAGAAAGCAGGAACUUUAAUCUUUAAAACUUACUUGUUGAUUCGGGGUUUGAGUCACGCGCGUGUUGAUGCAGGCGUGAUGGAGCGAAGCUAACCGAGGAGAUGAUGAAGCAAGGCUUGCAGCGAUGGUAACGCUUCAAUCCUAAGCUAGGAUUGCAGUGGCUGUUCAAUCCUAAGCUAGGAUUGCAACCGGUUUGCAAUCCUGGUCGUGGCAGAGGGCUGGAACGCAGGGCUGCAGGAGCGCGGGCGCGUUGCUUGGGGUCGUUGCGCAAGGGCUGCAAGCGCACGGGUGCGCGAGGUGUGCGGCAGGAGCGCAGAGGCGCGUAGCAGACGUGCGGAUGAAAGCGCUGGCUGGCUGGCAAGCGCUAGCUUGUGCUAGCUGUGUGCUUCGGCUGCAGGGGCAGCAGUGGCUGGGCGUGCACGCGGGGUAACAGGCAGCAGUGGGGAGGCUAGCUCGUGCUAGGGCUUGCGUAGGGAUGGCAAAAAUCCCCAUAGGGUAUUCGACCCUAACGGGGAGACAUUCGGGGGAAAUCGGGUAACGGGGAUGGGGAUCCCCAGUAUUUGAAUUCUGAAAUCGGGUACGGGGCGGGGAUGAUAUUUUUAUCCCCAUCCCCAUACCCACCCAAUAAGAAUUAUCUGAAAUACAUAUAUAUAUAUAUAUAUAGAACCUUGCUCAGGUGCGGAUAUCCGCACCUAAGAAAAAAGCUACGGAUUUCCAUCUUAACUGUUCAGUUUUUAGAUCACAUUUUCACAUCUUCACAUAUUCAGGGUUUAGGUACGGAUUUCCAUAUUUGACCCACUUUCCGAUCACAUUUUCACAUCUUAACCGUUCAGUUUUUAGAUCCUAAUGUAUAGAUCACCUCUGCAAAAUUUCAGCUAAUUUGGUGAUCGUUAAGGCAUCCAAAACUGCAAUUUACACGAACGAACCGAAUCUGUCGAACCGGAACCGUUCGUGUACGUUGUUGUAAAUUGCAGUUUUAGAUGACUUAACGAUCACCAAAUUGGCUGAAAUUUUUUUUUUCUUUAUGGUGGAAAUGUUAUCGUCUGGCAGCAUUUGGUCUAGUAAGACUGUACGUAUUAGUGUCUACUUCAUAAGCAUAAUGUUCUGAGUUGGGGUCACGGAUUAAUUGUUAUAUGUUCUUAGUUGUAAUUUGUUCAGUUGUUUAAUGGAUUUUUCUGCCGCGAAUCUGAUAAUGUCAUGCUUCUUGUAAUGAUUGACGUUUCUACUAAGAUAAAUGGUGGUAAGGUUGUUUGCAAGUGGAAUGGUGACGACCCAAUCUGGACCCCAACGUAAUAAACCUACCUUUGACGAAUACAACUCAUGAUGACAAAGACCAAAUCAUCUUGGAAGGCCUCAUCUCCUCACAAGAGGAGGGUCUCACUCUCGAUCAUUUGCUAUUAGAAGUCAAGAACCCAUCGGCUUCAUUGGUUGAAAGUGAUCGUGAAUACAUUAGAAAAGAAAAACAUGGAAUCGGAUAAUGUUGGAAUAGAAAAUAUGGGAGUUGCUUUCACACUUCUUAAAGCUAUGGAUAUAGGACCUUUAGUCUGGAGAUGAUCUUUAGUCUGGAGUUGAUUAUGUUUUUUAUUUUAUUUGUUGGGUAGGGGCUAUGGUAAGAAUUAAGUUGCAUUUCUUUCAUUUUCACGAUUUAUAGAACCCAAUUAUGGAAUCGGAUAAUGUUGGAAUAGCAAAUGUGGGAGCUGCUUUCAGCCUUUCACACUUCUUAAAUGUGGGAGCUGCUUUCACACUCCUUUAGUCUGGAGUUGAUCUUUAGUCUGGAGUUGAUUAUGUUUUUUAUUUUAUUUGUUGGGUAGGGGCUAUGGUAAGAAUUAAGUUGCAUUUCUUUCAUUUUCACGAUUUAUAGAACCCAAUUCUCUAACUCGUUGGUCCUUUCAGAAUGAAAUUAAACAGUCAAUGCAUGUGAUAGAAAGGAGCAGUUUUUGGCAAUUGAAAAUGUCCCAAUAUACUAGCUUAAAUAGGUCGAUAGGUUUCCCAAGUCCCUAGCUAGAAUCACUAAAAUGCAAUUGAUAGACAUCACCAUAAUUUGGGAUAUAUGGCUGGUCUGGCUAUUUGAAGUAUGGCAUGGUUGAUCAAUAAUUGAUAGAACUCACUGUAAGAGGUACGUAGUGGUAUGGGCUCGUGAAAUUUCUGAGAAGGGCGGGGGAUGCAUUUUCUUUGGGCUUAAAUCUUUUAUUGUACUUCGUAGAAAACAUUGCAGAUGCAUUAUCACAAUAAAUCUUAAAGGAUCUCUUAAUUUAAUUAACCGCUUCUAUUCAAUAUUGAUUGAAAUUUCUUAAGUCAUAAGCCUUAUUCUGGCUUCAUGGAGUUAGAAAUUAGGGAGUUCUCCUAUAUGAUGAUGAACUGCAAGUUCCAUCCUUAUUUACAAUUGCCAUGCAUGCUGAUGAUUAGUUUGGUUAAAGUACCAUUAAGUUGGAAUAUAUUGUUAAAGAUAAUCAAUCUUCCUCAAUCACUAGCCAUUGAUAUGGCUAUAAUGCUGUGCAUUAAUCUAGGAUCAGUUUUGAUAUUGUUACAAAUAUAGAUAGCUGUAGCCUAUACUGUUGUGCAUCAAUCUAGGAUCAGUUUUGAUAUUGUUUUAAAUGUAGUUAUUACGGCAUUGCAAAACUGAUGCUGCUUCUCCUAUAUAUUGUAAACAUUGUAAAUGUACAAAUCAAUGAAUUACAAUUUCGACAUAUAUCCCAAGGGAGGAAUUAUCAUACUAAUCAAGAAAAUUAAAAGUACCAUGAAUGAAAGACAUGCACUCAGAUAGUAAAAUCCUCGCAUGGUUUGGGAUUCAGAGAUCUUAUGACUCAAGGACGGGACUCUUGAAUCCAUAACAGUUGACAUCAGUAUUUGAAACAGCAAUUUGAAAUGUACGUGGACUCUUAUCUCACAUUGGCUCUUCAGUAGAUGAAAACGACUCUAAGCAUUGAUCGAAACAGUAAUAGCAAGUUGAGAAUAGAUGAGCCUUAAGGCAUAAAGCAUGAAUCAUCAUUAAGCCCAAGCACAAUGAAACAAUUAGAUAAUGUAUGUUAAUUUUCAGGAAACAAUUUAACAGAACUGAAUGUACAAGUUGAUACUUAGUAGUUAGUACUAACAUAGGCCGACCAUUGGAUACAAAUUUGUGCGCUUUACAUAACUUCUUUCCUGAGGUAACAUUGAUUGCUUAUAUCUGGUUCUCUAGCAAUCUUACUGCAAAUAAAUAGACAACAGCUGAGCUCUUUCAACUAUGAACCUUACUAUCCACGUCAGUUCCAACUCCUUCAUACUUGAAUCUUGUCAUUAUUAUCAGAAGACAUUGACAUUGCAUUAGUUCUACAAUUUCACUGGACAAACUUAGCAUGUACAUAGUGGUGUUUUCUGCAGUACUCUUAGCAAAUUUGCAUUCAGGAACUGUUUGUACCUGGAACUACAUGUCCCUGCAGGUAAGCCAUUACCAUUCUGAGAGAUAUGCUUUAUCACCAAUAUCAUAUUUUAAAGUAGACGAUUUGAAAUUUACAUGCAUUUUAAUUGCCUAAUUUAAGGUACCCUUCCAUGUGAGUCACCCGGUACAUAAUUACAUGCGACACCAACUGUAUAUUUCAACCUUGUUUACUUUCUUCUGUUAUGAAGGUUGCCUCUAGCUACUUUUCUUUUAGUGACACAUCUCUAGCUUUUUUUUAGCAUAAUCUGUUUACAGUGCUUGCAGUUAGGUCAAUAAAGUUUGUUACAGAUGAAAACUUGCUUACUUGCAUUCUAACCAGACAAUUCUCAGGUUAGCCCACUUGUGGUUAAUUAACUAAUCGAUCAUCACCUUCUGCAAAGCAUAGUAUGCAUCUUUGCAUGCCGUAAAAAUUUGAUCUACAAAUGCAUUUUUUAUUUUUUUUGGUCUGUCAACAACCGAACCAAGUAAUGAAAAUUGUUAAAUGGUGUCUGCCAGAAGUUUUGGCAGGUAGAUUAGCAGUACUCCAGAAAAUUAAAAGACAGAUCUGCAUGAAACUGAUAUAAAUGAACCUCACAGGGCAUAUAGCAAUGCACUAUCUUUUCCUUGGCAUAUAUAAUAGCAGAGAGGACCCUGGCAUACUCAAGACCUUCAGAAUUCAGAAAAUGCAUUAAUGGAAGGAAUCAUCAGUUGAAAUGAAUAUCUGAAUUAGCAUGGAUUUUGUGGCAAAAAGAUGUUCUGCACUUGAUUAUGAUAAAAUCCAUGGGUGAGUUCAAGGGUGGACUUUUGAAUACACAACCAGAUAUUCAAUCAUGGCAAAGAGCAGGUAAAAUCCUAUUGUCAACUAAUACAAAAACUAAAGUUUAUGGUGAGAUAUUAAUGUUAAAGAAACUUUAGGUGAAAAGAGUUGUUUCAUAACUAAUUAAGGUUUAGGCCUAUAAAAAGAUUGUUUCUGAGGAAUUUAGGAGUGUCUCAGAUUAUCAAUAGAAAGAAAGGAAAGGGAUAGAGAAAUAAUGGAAGGAAAUAGCUCCAGGAGACUUGUGCAUGUUCUUAUGGUCCUGAUGAUCGUGAUUUUGGUGACUGAAGUGCAAGCUCAGUCACCUUUCUGCAUAAUUAAAUGUACACUCAAAUGUGCAGGUUCUAAAACCAGCCCAAUCUGUACUGCAGAAUGCUUGAAAAAUUGCAAGAAGUCACUGCCGGAGCCUCUCUACUACUGCAGCCUUGGUUGCACAACUUCCAUGUGCACCAACAUCAACUCUGGAGAAGCAGAAGGUUGCGCAGGUUUAUGCUCCAAAAAAUGCAGCAAAUAUUAUGCUCUCAAGUCUCAACUAGUAGAAUUGCAUGAGUAAAUAGAUCACAGAACUCAUACAACUGGUAUUUGCAACUGCAAAAAUCAACAAUCAUAUAUGCUGAUUUCAUGCGUGCCAUUUUAUUUAAUUAAAGACACCUUUGUGUUAUAUGUAUAUUGCAACAUGAACAAGCACUGGAUCAAUUGAUAGAUAUACGCACACAAUUCAAACACACACACACAGCAUAGGGAAUAGAAUAAUGUUCAUACCUGAAGGAUCCAUGAAGUCAACAAAAUGAACAAUAGCCCUCUGCAGAUCUCUAAGUAUGAACUCCUUGUUUAUGGGGAAGGACUGAAUGUUCUAUUUCAACGUAGAGAAUGCAGGGACUAGAGUGCUUGAACACUCGACUCUUCCCAUAGUAGAAGUCAUAAGCAACUCGAUCACUUCUAUUUACCACAUGUUUCAUAUCAGAUAAGUAACCAAAAGAUUAUCAUUAAUAUAUUUCCAUAACCACUUGAUAGA
Long non-coding RNA from Rosa rugosa (rugosa rose), 11183 nucleotides. RefSeq lists it as uncharacterized. The record is from RefSeq and is a predicted model, not a curated record. NCBI's taxonomy places the organism in Eukaryota, Viridiplantae, Streptophyta, Magnoliopsida, Rosales, Rosaceae. The transcript has 4 exons.